CAACCUUGUUCGCGUGGACUUCAGAGAGGCCAAAGAGGAGAAUCAUCAUUCGUAGACCGAGUACGGAUUCCAUGGAGGUGGAUGAAAACCAGCCUGAUGAGAGAAGGGAUGCCUUGAGCAGAGGUACCUCCUCCACACCCGUACCAUGAUUAUGCUGUUCCACCACCAGAGGCCAGAGACACCAGAGGAACAACUUGAGGCGGCUCGCAAGCACAUCAUUGAGCAAGACAAGUUAAUAGCACAACUUAAAGAUAAAGUGUUCAGUGUGUCGAGAUUCCAGUGUGAUGAUAGUCAGAUGUCAUUUUACACAGGAUUCCCAGACUAUGCCACCUUUAAAGCUGUAUAUAUGGCUCUACAGCCCACGCCCACAGGCAUGGUUGGAUGGAGUCAGGCUCAAAGGCUUACAUAAACAGAGGUACAGGUCAUCAGAAAGGCAUUUAAUAUCCCUAAACUAGCAAUUAUGGACCAGUUCUUUCUCUUCCUCUGUCGUCUCAGACAGGGUUUUGCUGAGCAGUGCACUUUGGUGUGUCACAGUCAACUGUGAGCAGAAUCUGUGUCACCUGGGCUAACUAUCUAUACUUCAUGUUAGGAGUA
Long non-coding RNA from Engraulis encrasicolus (European anchovy), 594 nucleotides. RefSeq lists it as uncharacterized. The record is from RefSeq and is a predicted model, not a curated record. The transcript is spliced from 3 exons. Lineage: Eukaryota; Metazoa; Chordata; Actinopteri; Clupeiformes; Engraulidae.